This 5925-nucleotide long non-coding RNA is filed under the name Gallus gallus (chicken). Lineage: Eukaryota; Metazoa; Chordata; Aves; Galliformes; Phasianidae. The record is from RNAcentral.
GAUCUGGUUAAACUUAAAAACAGCUGCCAGAUGUUUUUCAGGGGAAAGGAGGGAGGUAAGAUAUUGAAUGAGAAGACUAAGAAAAAUAAUUCUUUGGGGGCUGGGCAGGAGUCUCUAUGACUGAUUCUUGCGGCUUAACUUUUGGCAUGUGUUCAGCACCUUGCUGUUCAGGGGAAUCAUCUUGUUCCUGAUUCUUUGCUGUGCCUUUCAUUUUUCAUUCUGCUUUCUUACAUCCCAGUGCCAGAAGCAUCACUCAUGUCAUGCAAGAAGAAAGACUUAGAGAGUCCUGGGCUCCCUUCAUGGAACAGUGGUCUUUAUCCCCUUACCAGAAAACUGAGAGAUGUAAUAAUCUCUCCACUUCUGUUCUGGCAGGUCUACCAGGCUCAGUCUUGAUUCUGACGACAUUUGAUGGUGUCAGCAGAGUAUAAGGACCUGAAUGACCGUUUCUGCAUCCACCGAGUUACCCUCCUGGUGGUUGGUAGUUGAGCAGGGUGGGGUGAUGCCUUGUUCCCUGAUACAAGCCGUGCCUUCAGCAGUGCUGAGCUCCCAGGAUUUAAUUCCUUCAAUUACAAGGAUCUCUGCCGCCCCGUUGUUGCUCCAUGAACCUUCUGACACGAGUCAAAUGCAGAUGAGAUGAAAGGAUUCAUUCAUCCCAAGUGAAGGCAAAGAGCGGCGGUAAUGCAAGAGAAGGGCUUGGCUCGUGCUCUGCUUCCAGCUCACAGUUAUGUCCCCAGGAUGCAGACAUUAAGCAUCUUGCACAGAAUGUGGGAGGAGGAAGAAAAGUCUUUGUCUGAGAUUCACGAAUUUUAAUGGCUUCCAGAAGGGGAAAUCUUUUACUAAAGAGCAAAAGCAAAGUUCAGAGAAAUGCAAAAGCAUUUAUCUCCCUGGUUGCAUUCCUGCCUGCCAAAAGUGGGAGGGUUGGUUUGCUCCUCUGGUAAAAAGGGUCCCAGAGGAAGAAUGAUCUCAGGAGUCAUAAGCAUCUUCUCUUUGUGUGCAAAGAACUUGGAUCAACAGGAAAUAUUCUUUGGUGGGAUCAUGCAGAAUCUGUCUAUCAUUAUUUGCUCCCCACUACUACAUGCCUACACUUCUGCUUCCCACAGUAACUCUGAUUUACCACUGAUAAAUCAUUUUACCUUCAUUAAAAUUUGUAAUUAUAGUAGAUGGAGCUGCAUUUGAAGCAUGUUCACUAGCUGUAAUGGAUGGCAUUUUUGUAUGAUCACAGAAUCAUUAAGGUUGGAAAAGACUUCUAAGAUCAUCUCGUCCAAUUAUCCACCUACCACCAAUAUUGCCUGCUAAACUGUGUCUCUUAAUUUUGUAUCUUUUACCUGGGUGAAACUUACUCGCCAAAAAGUAAGGCUGCAGAGAAUGACACUGCUGUAUCCCAGUCUCAGAAGCAGCACUCUCUCCAUGCACAGAUUUGCCAGGUUCUGCAUAAGUCUGAUAAAUCCAUGUCCUUAUUUCUGUGAAUGAUUUACAAGAUCAGAAAUGUGUCUGAAAGAAAAUCCAGAGCUGGAUGGUGACCUUGGAUUUUAUGCUCUCCCAUGUGUGUAUGCAUGUGCAUACAGCAUCCCUUAUUUUUGCACUUUGUCAUAUAUUGUGCUGGAAAGUUAGCUUUGACAAGUGGAAAAGUAUAAAGAUUAGAACAAUCAUGUUUACAUGUAUUACCACCUGCUACUUCUCUUCUUCCAUGGUGCUUAAAUGUUCAGUCAGAAGGCUUUGAAACACGCUACCUGUAAUGCACUUAAGAACUCUGCUGGAUUUCCAGUUUGCUUUGAUCUCCACUGUCUAGAGACUACCUCAUAGAAUAUAAAUGAAUAUAUUUAGGGGAAAAUUAUUUUCAAGGAGAAAACCCUGAAGUCCUUCCAACAUAUAUGCUUUGCCAGUUGAUGUCAUUCCUAAGGUUGGUUUUUUUGCAUUUUAUCUUCACGUUUCAGGAGGCCUCCAUCUCCGUCUAGAAUGAGCAAUGUAAUGAGGGAAGACCCAUCCAAGAAGAUUAAUCCCAUCUUCCCACUGAAGAUGGAUGUGUUCAGCUCCCCUUGUUGUGGGCGCUGACGUGGCAAGCAAUUCUUUGGUGAUUUUUGUUCACAAAGUAGAUAGAAGAAGAGAUGAAUUAUUAUUUACAGACUAAACAAAGCAAAAUAAAAAUGUAUUUCAUCAAGAAAGAAGGAGAAGGAUGUGAGGGAAAAGAUGGUAAGAUUAAUAUGAUUGGGAAGGAGACAUUGACUAGAGAGCUGGAAAUAGAAGAAAGAUGUGACUAGAUCAGGCUAUGAGCAAACCAGCAGCUUUCUGAGGGCUUUGCAAGCGCAUCUUUCCCAUCUCACCACAUGAAGCCACCAUGCAUGACUGCCAUUUGGAAUUGGGUUGGUGUAAGGAGUAAUCUAUAGCCCUCAAGCUAGCCACUGCUUGAGCUCUAGCCAUGGAGGAGAAGUCACCUCUCACUGGGAAUGGGGAAAACAUCAAAAGCAAUCAACAAGGUUUCAUUUGAAUUGGUCCUAUUCUGUUAGGAGAUCAGAGCCUGCAAAAGAACAACCUACAGAUGAUCUUUUUUCUCCCUGACCUUGUGCUGUUCCCUCUGGACAUGCUGGUGUUGCCAUGCAGAAGACAUUCACUCAACUCUUCUCCAUGACCAGUGCAGGAGUGGUGUGAAUGUCAGGAAACUCAGCCAGGAAUGCAAAGCAUCCCUCAUUUUGAAAAAAAUUUGAAACUUCUGAAGAGAUUUUGAAAAAGAACAAGAGAGCUGUGAGUUCCUCUUUUUGUAAAGCAGAGAGGAAGCAGGAACAGAAUCAUGGCUCUGAAUGGUGGUUUUGUUUCCUGGUCUGCUCUGCUCAAUGCUUUAUGCAGGUUUUUCUGCAGACUAAUCCUGUGCACAUCCCCCUGUCUCCACCAAGGGCUUAAUUGCUAUUAGUUACUGGUAGUACAGCCUUCCUUAAAAUAGAAAUAUAUCCCAGUGUGUUCAGUGAGGGAAAAUUGGAUCUUUGUGGAACAGAGACUCCCAAAAUUGAAGUCCACUGAUGUUAUUAUGGACAUUGAAGGGAGACAGACAAUAAUAAACUCUCCCAAUCAUGGGAUCCAGGAUGUAAAAAACACGUCCCAGGUUCUAAAUGAAAAUUCUUAUGUGAUGACAUGAAAGAUCUGUUCCUUAGCAAGCUGUGGAGGUGGGAGAGCAAAGAGAAACCAAUGAAGAAAAGGGAUGGUGGUGGAAGAGGGGGCAGCUCCCAAAGGAAACACUGCCUCAGCCCAUUGCCUGACAAAGGAAGAUUGAUGUCUUCCUUGCUUGUGCUUUCUUCCUUCCCACUGCUGGGACUGUGGAACAUCCUUGAAAGAAGCAAGGAAAUGAUGUUUAGUAACUGGGACCUGACUGUCUCUCCUUUGCUGAGAUAUGAGUCCUUACCUGUAGGCUGAGAAAGGGACCAGCAUGAAGGACUAGGAGGUGUAGAGGAGGACUAGGAGGUGUAGAGACUAGACAACCUGAGAGGGUAGUUGUGAGUGAAAGAUAACAAUCGGAGACUGGUCCACUCUCUGAGAGCAUCCUUGCAUAAAGAUACACCAAGAAUCUAAUUUUCUGCUCCCUGUACUGUUCAGCAGAAGGACUGUGCUCAUGACACUGGAAUGAACUAUCAUAUAAUUAGAAGGAAAAUCUCUGCUAGAUUACAAAUACUGCUUAUAUAAGGACUUCUUUAAAGUUUCAGGAAAUAACAGUCUCAACUGAAAAUGUGAUUUUGUAAUAAACUGGUAAAUUACUAGCUCUAAUAUGCAUUAAGUAAACCUUCAAAAUUGAAUUCAGCAAUAUAUCCACGCAGAUCUCAGAAUAUAGGAAUGAAAUGUAAAAAUAGUAUCAUUUUGAAGUUGAGAAUUUCUGAAAAGUUGUCCAAAUAACCUGAAUUCAAGGAUGACAUUUUCAUGCUAACUCUCCUUAACCCACCAGAAAUAUUUUUUCUCUCUGCUUUUCAUACGUGAAGCUCUUUAAUAGCUGUGGUGAUGUGAUUUCUGAACUAUUUGCUUAACCUAUCAAUUAUCUGGUUUAAUUAAAGCUGGCCAUCAGCACCUGUUUUUUCAUCCUUUAUUAGGUGAUGGAAAUAUCCAAUUAAGAGAUGAGAAGCACCUUGUUUUCAGGUUAACAGGAUGUUUUUUUCAAAGAAAACAAGGCUUUUUUUGUUUGUUGCUUUAUAGAGAGAGUAAAUGUUUACUACCCGGAGGUAUCAAGUCAAUGUGAAGCAACAAUUUGUGAUAUCUGUUCCAGUACAAAUUCAUUUGUCCCAUAAUAAGUUGAGGUAGACACAGAAAAACAGAGUGCAAUUUAAUUGAUUUUUGAAUAAAUAUUCUGUUUCCAAAGGAAGUUAAUGUUUCUGUAAAUACUUAUUUCUGUUUCAGCAUUAAUAUGCUAAAACAAUCGGUUUUCCUUCUGGAAAUUUUUCCUGGAAUUGUGAUUACUGAGUUCUCUCAACACAAAGGAGCUACUAGAGAAACACUACCCCAAGAAAAGCUGUAAGUGCUUGAGGUUUAAAUUUAUACAUUUCCUUAUCCAAGAACAUUUCAGAUUUUGACUUUCCUAAUCUGGAUUCUCCCCUUUUACUCUCAUGUGGAAAAUGUACUUCUGCCUUAUUUCUGAAGUCAGUACCAUUGCUUUCCUCUAGAUUUUUGCCUGUUGGAGACAUGAGUCUUGCACUGGUGUCCAAGAUAGAUUUAAGCAAAUGCUGUGAUGCCUAAAUUCAAAAUACAGAGUGAUUCAGUGUUAACACCUUUGUGAGCUAACAGGCUGUGGCUGUAUAAACAGUCAGCAGAGAGAAAGCUGAAUCUGGUGUCUACAAGAGAGAGUUUGAAUAAGGCUGCUUCACUGAUGCUUUACUGUAUCACACAAAAAUGAUUUUUAAAAAUAUUUUCCAACCUUUUAUAUAUAGCCUAAACCUCUUUCUUGCUUUCUUCCUCGUUGUUGAGUUUAUGCCUCUGCUAAGCCUUCAAAAAUCUGGUCGUUUCUGCUGCUUUUGGAGGUGUCUUUCAUAUAAAAAGGAAAAGAUAAGCUCGUGGGUGUUGGUCUGUGAAUGGAGAUGCAGUCAGGGAAAUAACCCUCUCUGUACCCAUAAGUCUGAUCAGUGAAAAGGUGCAUAAAUGCUGAAAAGGGGUGUCUGUACAUAAGUGUAAGUCUGCACACAGAUGUAUACUUCGUCUAUGCUUACACUGUGUGUAUGAUAUAUGUGUCUGUAUAAAAAGAAUUCAAAUCCACUUUGCAGGUUUGCUGCUGCUGAAAGUGUGUGUUUCCAAAUCUAAACACCUGCACAUACAUAAAGGCUGGAUGUUUGAUUGUGCUGAGCUAUACGCUUUUCACACAUGCUCUUUGUAAUGUGGACUGCCUCCUCAAAGUAGACAUUUUAAACAUGCAGUCCCCAGGAAAAUAGGAAUUUAUCACUCACGAUAACAUGAAGCUGUCACAGGGUGUGUUCAAAAGCCCCCCUGCAACUUACUGAUAAAAAGCUUAACUCCAUUUCAGGGCUUAUCUGAAGAAGAAAGGGGUAGACCCUCAUGAAAUAACUGAAUUUUUUUUCAAGGAUGGAAAAAGAGAAGGAAAGGGAAGGAGCAGAAGAACAAAUGCAGCAGAACAAGUUUAACCCGUUGAGAUUUUCAGUAAAGUUUUGUGCUUCAUCAGGAAGAAUCCUGCAGUGAAACAUAUGUCAGAAGAGAAGCAGAUAUGAGAAAGCGGUCUCCUUUGCAGAUGAGAAGAUUAAUUAAGAGGGAAAUCACUUAGCCAGAUGUCUCACUGGUGAAACUGUACGUGCAAGGUACAUCUGCAAUGAGAGAUCAGCAGAGCAAAGACAGUGCAUUUGACUUCUUUGCUAACAUUAGAGAGAGAAGAGUCUGGUGUGAAUUAGAUCAUGCUGACCCUUGGAGAAAUUGAGGAGCAUGGAUCUGAUUUCAGCUACAAAUUACGAG